CCUACGGGUGGCAGCAGUAGGGAAUCUUGCUCAAUGGGGGAAACUCUGAUGCAGCAACGCCGCGUGGAGGAUGAAGGUUUUAGGAUCGUAAACUCCUUUUGUGAGAGAAGAUAAUGACGGUAUCUCAUGAAUAAGCACCGGCUAACUCUGUGCCAGCAGCCGCGGUAAUACGGAGGCUGCAAGCGUUACUCGGAUUUACUGGGCGUAAAGAGUGCGCAGGCGGGCUUAUAAGUGAGAUGUGAAAUCCUGUAGCUUAACUACAGAACUGCAUUUGAAACUAUGGGUCUAGAGUGUAGGAGAGGUAAGUGGAACUCUUGGUGUAGCGGUAGAAUGCGUAGAUAUCAGGAGGAAUACUCGUGGCGAAGGCGGCCUACUGGAACAUUACUGACGCUCAGGCACGAAAGCAUGGGGAGCGAACAGGAUUAGAUACCCGGGUAGUC
Molecule: ribosomal RNA, 440 nt
Filed under: uncultured bacterium
Lineage: Bacteria
Description: partial 16S ribosomal RNA
Rfam family: Bacterial small subunit ribosomal RNA
Source: RNAcentral